RNAcentral lists this ribosomal RNA (253 nucleotides) under uncultured bacterium. RNAcentral describes it as "partial 16S ribosomal RNA". It matches the Rfam family "Bacterial small subunit ribosomal RNA", at positions 524 to 776 of the family's 1533-position model. The record is from RNAcentral.
UACGUAGGGUGCAAGCGUUAUCCGGAAUUAUUGGGCGUAAAGAGCUCGUAGGCGGUUUGUCGCGUCUGCUGUGAAAACUGGAGGCUCAACCUCCAGCCUGCAGUGGGUACGGGCAGACUAGAGUGCGGUAGGGGAGAUUGGAAUUCCUGGUGUAGCGGUGGAAUGCGCAGAUAUCAGGAGGAACACCGGUGGCGAAGGCGGGUCUCUGGGCAAUAACUGACGCUGAGGAGCGAAAGCGUGGGGAGCGAACAGG